AUUGUCUGCACUUCAACAUUUUGAUGUGUAUUUGAAUCCCACUAUGCAUCAUAUCGUUGUUUAUACUGAUCAUAAUCAUCUCACUUUCAUACAAAAAAUGAGAAACAAGAACCAGAGGUUGACUAGGUGGAGUUUAUUGUUACAGGAAUAUGAUGUUAUUGUAAAACAUAUCAAAGGUAAAGAUAAUGUAACAGCAGAUGUUUUAUCUAGAUCUUAUUAAAACACUGUAUGCAUACUAUAUAUUUUUGUACAUUUUGUUCAUGAGAAGUUCUUGUUAAGCUCAAACCUUUUUAAGGGGGAGGUAUUAUGAGAUUGUUAUUAUCAUAAUUAUUUAUCUUGGCCUGAUUUGUUUUGUGUGACCUAUUAUAAGUUGUUUACAAAAUAAUGUUAUAAUUGUGCAGUUUAGAAAUCACUGGAACACUCAUAGAUACUGAUGGAAUGAUUAGAACUUUCUAUUUUACUUACAUAACGAUUCUAGAAUGAUCAUAAUCGACGAUGCGUAAUUUAAACUUCUACAUUGUUCUAGAAGUUUCCCUUCUCAAGUUUUCUAGCAGUUUCCAAUCUACAGUGUUCUAAGAGUUUCUGUGACAACUAUAUAUACAGACACCGAAAUAAGACUUAUCAGACAUUAAUAUACUUGGAUUCUCAGAAGUUCUCUGAAGUUGUUGGAUUGACAUUAUUAUCAUACUAGAUUGUGAACUUAUUGGACAUAUUCCGUGACAGUUAAGAGAAAAACAGUUAAGAGAAAAAUUCCGGGUGAAGAAAAGACAAAGGAUUGGACAUAUAUUUUAACAAUUUCAACUCCCGCAGUCAAAUUUGUCCUAAGAUGGAUUCGGCUAUUAAUCAUUGGUCGGGAAGAAGCUUAAGAUAACUAAACAUCGUUUAUACUAAAAAUUGUAAAAUCAUACAACAAUUGAAAAUCUAACCAUGAGAGGAAGAUAACCAAACAUCAUAUUCAUCAAAGAAAAUUAAGUAAGACAAAGAGAUUUAACAACGAUUCAUUAGAAGCUGACAACUAAACAUCAUCAUCAAAUAAAAUAAACUAAAACGACAAAAAUUGAACAUCCAACCAUGAGAAAACAAUUACUCAACAUCAUCAUAAUAAGAAAUCAACUACAAAGAUUAAAAAUAUAACCAAGAGAUGAAGAUAACCAAACAACAUCUUCAAAGAAAUUCAAUAACACGACAAAGAUUGAACAUCCAACCAUAAGAAGACGAUAACUAAACAUCAUCAACAAAGAAAAUAAAAUAAACGACAAAGAUUAAACAUCAAACCAUGAGAAGAUGAUAGCAAAACAUCCUCUUCAAAGAAAAUGAAAAAACGACAAAUAUUGGACAUCUUACCAUGAGAAGACUACAACUAAAAAUCAUCCCCAAAGAAACGAAAAUAAAACGACAAAGAUUUAACAUCGAACCAUAUGAAAACGACAAAUAGAAAUCAUCCUAAAAAAAAAAGACAAAUAAAUGAAACAGUAGUAUACCGUUGUUCGAAAUUCGUACAUCGAUUGAGAAAAAAACAAAUCCGGGUUACAAACUAAAACUGAGGGAAACACAUCAAAUAUAAGAGGAGAACUACGACACAACAGAAACACAACAUUAAAAUGUAACACACACAGAAACGAACUAUAAUAUAACAAUGGCCAUUUUCCUGACUUGGUACAGGACAUUUUAAGAAAAAAAUGGUGGGUUGAACCUGGUUUUGUGGCUAGCCCAACCUCCCGCUUUUAUGGCAAUGUUAAAUAUAACAUUAAAAUGACAACAUUACAUGACAGGACUACAAUACAAAUAAAUGGGAAAACAUAUAGGACAGAGAAACAUACGAAUAAUAGCUAACAAAAGGUACCAGGUUUAAAAUUUAAUACACCAAGACGCGCGUUUCGUAAACACAAGACUAACCAGUGACGCUCAGAUCAAAAAAGUACGAAAGCCAAAACAAGUACAAAGUUGAAGAGCAUUGAAGACCAAAAGUUCCAAAAAGUUGUGCCAAAUACGGCUAAGGUUAUAUGUCUGGGAUACGAAAAUCAUUAGUAUUUAGAAUAAUUCAUACUUUUGCAAACAGUAAAUCUAUAAAAAAUGACUAUAUAAUAGAUAUACAUGAUAACGCCGAAGUGGUGACUAACUACAGAAUAAAAGAUUUAACAUCGAACAAUGAGAAGACGACAACUUAAAAUCAUCUUCAAAGAAAAUAAAAUAGAUUGAACAUCAAACCAUAAAAAGAAGAUAAGUUUACAUCAUCAAAUGUACCAGGCUCACAAUUUCUAACGCCAGACGCAUUCGUUUACAUAGGACUCGUCAGUGCUUUUCGAAUAAAACAAUUAGAUGACCAAAUCACCAAAUCAAACAAGAAGCGGAAGGGCGUUGCAAGCCGAAUAUUUCGAGAAAAAAAUGUCCAAAUACGGCUAAGGUCAUAUAUGUCUGGGGAUAUGAAAAAACUAAAUAAAAGUUUUGGUGUUUCUAAAAAUUCAUUACAAUAUAAACUAGUUUCAGGGAUAUUUGUUAUUUCUAAUUAAAACUAUUCAUAUAUAGGACAUAGACAUAAAUUAUACAUUUAUUAUACAAUCCCACAAAAAUUAAAACAUAAAAUCGAAUAUCACAAUGUAGAUACUGCGUUGGAGAGUUAGAAGUCGAUAUUAUCUUACGAGCAGAAACAAAACAAAUAAUACAAUUUAUUUGCAUAUAAAACCAAAUUUACUGUACGUAUUUGUAUAAAGAAUAUAAAAAAAUAAUGGUACUUUAAAAAUAAUAAUGAUUCAAAAAUAUAUAUUGUUACUUCCUUAAAUUUUCGCGAGUGUUAAUAAUUUCCUAUUAAAUACAGUGAUGUUUUAUUCAAAAUUCAUAGACGAAGAAAAACAGGACAUAAUAUGGGGGUGAAAUUUAAAGAAAACGACGAAAAUGCAAUAACAGUUCAUUGAAGAGUAACCUUAUUAUUGAGCAAAAGUUUGAUCUGAUGUCCGUCAGAAGGAUCAGCUUUUCCUGACCAAAUAGUGACACCAGUCAUUAUACUUCUUAUGGAAAACGUUUUGAAUUUUCUUGGAGUUCGGUUUUUUUUUUAUUUCACUUUUUUUAAGAGUCACAUCAGAAGAUUACGCAUCAUACAAAAGCGAAUUGAUGAAUGUAUUUUGUCUGACUCUAAUAAAUGAAUCAUCUGUUCAUGUAAAUUUAAAAAAAAACGACGAAAAUGCAACAACAGUUCAUUAAAUAGGAAACUUAUUAUUUAGCAAAAGUUGGAUCUCAUGUCCGUCAGAAGGGUCAGCUUUUCCUGACCAGAUAGUGACACCAGUCGUUAUACUUUAAAGGGAAAACGUUUUGAAUUUUCUUGGAGUUUUUUUGUUUUGUUUUUUUAACUUCUUUUUGAAGAGUCACAUCAGAAGAUUACGCAUUAUACAAAAGCGAAUUGAUGAAUGUAUUUGGUCUGACUCUAAUAAAUGAAUCAUAUGUUCAUGUAAAUCCCAUAAAACACAUCGAAUUUGAAAUUUUGUAAUAUGAUAGCGGUUUUUAAGACAAAUUAUGGAUAACAAAAUUAACGGUAUUAAACACAGUUUGAUAAAAUUAAAAAAACGUAAUAAAUCACUGAAAUCUAAAGCAAAUAGAAGACUGAAUAACAAAACUAUUUGUGGAUGAGUGUGCCCCCAGAGAAUAGACAGGUCCUGUUUUACUAGUGGAACUCGUCGUUUUCGACCAAAGUAAUUAAAAAUCCUUUGAUAAGUCUCAAUAUACUUUACAACCACAAUGAUCAAUAUGCAUAUGAAAUGAAAGAUUAAAAAGAGCAAAAUACAGAUAAGGUAAUCAUUUCCUGGGGAAGAAAAUCCUCAGUAUGGCGAAAAAUGAAAGUUGAUUUAUAAUUAUGACCAUAUCAAUGAUGAUUGAUGUGUUUGAGCUUUUGAUUUUGCCAUUUGAUAAAGGACUUUCCGUUUUGAAAUUUUCUUGAAGUUAGGUAUUUUUGUUAUUUUUUUUCCAUGUCAUCACAGAAAUGCUGACUUCUGAGCUGGUGAUUCUCUCGAGGAAGAAACCUCCACCAGCAGAGGCAUUCAGUGAUUCUAAAUAAACUCAUCAUAGUGUUGUGCCGGCCAAAAAUUGGUUCCUUACUAUGUCCUUUUAUGCUCCAUGAAUAUGUUAAAAUGGUCUCAAGUGUUAUAUUGUUAAUAUUUAUUGUUGUAAAGAUAUUUAGUUAUUCACACCCCUAUUAAAUCCUAUCUGGUUCCAUUGUAAUAUCCGUUUGUUUACAUCUGAUGUUAAAGUACAUUUCUGGAAUGUCACAGAAAAUAGAUUUAUGCAGAUUUGUUUACAUGUUGACGGUGACCCCGAAAUUAAUAGUUUACGCUUGUUGUGUAACAAAUAUGACUCGAUGCUGUAGAACUCAUAUAAUUGUGCUCUUCUAUGUUGUUUACAAACUUAUUUAUAUAUAUAUUAGCUCUCAUAUUGCAGUUUCAGUCUACUUUCACUUUUCACUUGUAGUUCAGAAUGUUCAUUUUGUCAGGUCACGAACCCACUUCAAUUGGGAAAUUUACUUACAUUACAUUCUGUCACUAGUUAUAUCAGGCAUUUCUAGCUUAAUAAUAUAUUUAUUUAUCCAACUAGAUAGGUGUGGAUCCCUUCCGAUGUAUGAAUUUAUUUGGUAUAUUGUGCUUAAGUCCCCGGAGGAUACGUAGAACCACCAUCUUUGAGCAAAUCUGCGCGUUUGCCCGGAAAUCGCAAAUAGAAUUAUUUGAUUGGCUAAUAUUAUUCUAUUUAUAAAGCGACGUCAGCGUACUUGUGACGUCAUUCUUCUCAGUUCAAUUUUCACUUGAUACACGUUUAUUUAACAGUCGCAUAGAUUUUAACUUGUUUCUAUUAUUAUGUCGCAGCAAUAUAUUCGCUCGGAUGUAGCCAUGGUACGUUAUCAUGAUAGUUUAAUUGCUUAUAAUAUUAAAAAUGCCUUUUAAGUAAAUUACUGUGUGUUUCCACUACAUAAACCAUUCUUUAACUUUAUUUGCACCGAGAAUCAAGUCAAAUUACACCGGGUGCAACAUUAUUUAGUCACUAGCUUCCGUAAAUCAUUGAUCAAUUAUAGAAAAGUUGUGAUUAUAAAUUACGUUUUAUAUUGAGAUGAUAUUACCAAUCAACUGAGUCGUUAUAUAUAUUUUACCCGUUUAUAUCGCUACUCGAAUUUAGCGGUGAAUCCAAGUUUGGAUUCGGCGCACCACAUCUACUUCGGUGUCUCUGCACCGUAUAAGGCAAAAUUUAUAUAAAUUGCUGAUACAAUGGACCUUGAUUGGAAAUGACCAUUUAUUGCUAAAUUAUAAACUUUGCAACUGCACCUCAUUUUUAUCGUAACGUCACCUGAACCUUAUGUGCAACUAAACCUUAAGUGCAACUGCACCUCAUUUUUAUAGUAACGUCACCUGAACCUUAGGUGCAACUGCACUUCACCAAAAAUAUAUCAAGUAAACCAUGAGAUCGAUAAAUCUUAUACAUUUUUAUGUUCUAUGUAUCCUCUUGGGGCACCUUUCGUGUAUUAUAUAAUAUCAUAAGUUUAUAGUAUUAAUACUACUGUCAAAACUGCAUAUUUUUAUGUUGUGCCUUAAAUACAGUAAUAAACAGGGUGUGAACUUUUA
Long non-coding RNA from Mytilus californianus (California mussel), 5594 nucleotides. RefSeq lists it as uncharacterized. The transcript has 3 exons. Lineage: Eukaryota; Metazoa; Mollusca; Bivalvia; Mytilida; Mytilidae. The record is from RefSeq and is a predicted model, not a curated record.